Molecule: non-coding RNA, 918 nt
Organism: Lipotes vexillifer (Yangtze River dolphin)
Lineage: Eukaryota; Metazoa; Chordata; Mammalia; Artiodactyla; Lipotidae
Source: the annotation of a RefSeq genome assembly
AUGCCAUCGCUGUUCCACGUGCUCACUCUGACAGUCCUUGGGGCAUCAUGUGUGUAUGGUGCAGGUCAUCUAGAGCAACCUCAACCCUCCAGUACCAAAAAGCUGUCAAAAACAGCCCGCCUGGAAUGUGUGCUAUCUGGUGUAACCAUUUCUAAAAUGUCUGUGUAUUGGUAUCAAGAAAGACCCGGUGAAGCCGUGCAGCACCUGCUACACAUUUCAUCUAACGACACCGUCAAAAGGGAAUCAGACGUUACACUGGGCAAGUUUGAGGCAGACAAGAAACCCGAAACUUCUACGUCGACCCUCACCAUUCACAAUGUACAGGAACAAGACGCAGCCACCUACUAUUGUGCCUUCUGGGAAGGUAAUCACGUCAAAGUGUUUGGUUCUGGAACACAGCUCAUUGUUACAGAUAGAAGCCUUGAUGUAGACAUGUCUCCCAAGCCCACUAUAUUUCUUCCUUCGAUUGAUGAAAUAAACCUCCAUGAGGCUGGAACACAUCUUUGCCUUCUCGAGAAUUUUUUCCCUGAUGUCAUUAAGGUCUAUUGGAAAGAAAAGAAUGGCAACAGAGUUCUGGAAUCCCAGCAGGGAAAUAUCAUCAAGACUAAUGAUACAUACAUGAAAUUCAGCUGGCUGACCGUGACUAAAAGGUCAAUGGAUAAUGAACACGUAUGUAUCGUCAAACACGAGAAUAAUAAAAGAGGAAUUGAUCAAGAGAUUCUUUUCCCUUCAGUUAACAAAGAGGUCACUACACAUGCCUGCGUGAAAAAAAGUAGUGAUUCCCUGCAGCUGCAGCUCAUGAACACCUGUGCCUGCUACACCUACCUCCUUCUGCUCCUCAAGAGCUUGGUCUACUUUGUCAUCAUCGCCUUCUGCGUGUGUAGAACAGCCGUCUGCGGCCAUGGGAAGAGCUCGUGA